Molecule: non-coding RNA, 194 nt
Filed under: Dethiosulfatibacter aminovorans
Lineage: Bacteria; Bacillati; Bacillota; Tissierellia
Description: T-box sequence
Rfam family: T-box leader
About the family: Uncharged tRNA acts as the effector for transcription antitermination of genes in the T-box leader family. T-boxes are found upstream of many aminoacyl-tRNA synthetase genes and some amino acid biosynthetic genes usually in Gram-positive bacteria.
Source: RNAcentral
AUACAAGCUUUGAAGAGACUAGUAGUUGCUGUAAGACUAUAGAGAGGGAAUGGCUGGUGAAAAUUCCUGUCCCAUGCAGCAGUGAACCUGACUCCGAGCAUUCAGGCCAAUAACCUGAACGGCUAAAACCGUUAAAUGAUUGAGUGACUGCGAAAGCAGUAAUUAGAGUGGUACCGCGGAUAUCCGUCUCUUUG